This 2659-nucleotide unclassified non-coding RNA is filed under the name Hevea brasiliensis (rubber tree). Lineage: Eukaryota; Viridiplantae; Streptophyta; Magnoliopsida; Malpighiales; Euphorbiaceae. The record is from RNAcentral.
AUAAAUAUAAAAAUAUCUACUUAAGAAUUUCUCACAUAAUUUAGCAAGCAACAUCAACUUAACAUAAUCAUAGAGAAUUAGAGAUCACAAACCCACACCAGCAAGCGUUACUAUAUAAUGCAUUUAAAGCUUAUUUCAUCUUUUUUAGUUGCUCUGUAUGUUUUCCCUUCAAUUUCUAUUCCAGUGGUUUGAACACGACAAUCGGGCUCCUUACAAUGUGACGAGGGCUUUUCCAUGCAAGCGAACCAGACGCCAUUUGUCCACUUGAGAUGGGUUUUGCCUUAACCACGACCGUGAAGCUCCUCUUUUGUAAGGCACGAGAGAAGGAGAGACUCCUGGGGUUUACUGUGAUUUUCACCCCUUUAGGAGCCUCAAUAGUGGCAUUGUAGAUAGAAGGAGAAGGACCCACAUUGGUUACCGUCCGUCGAAAAAUUCCGAUGCUUGUCUCCCGGUCAUUUUUGGCAUUAAGUUGCAUGGUGGGAUAGUUAAGAGCAUCAUAGCCAAUUCCAGGAAGCAUUGAGGAGCAAUUUAUUUUUAAGCCAAUUAAAACAGCCAAUUUUGAUCCAGGGUAGCCUUCGUGACAUAGGAACUGGAUAUAAGACAUUUCAUCCAUGUCAUAGACUAAGCCAGGGCUUCUAGCUUUAGUUGGAUUUAAUUGACCAGCACCAUAGGCAAAUUCUGCGUCGCUGUUAGCUCUCACACUCAUAGGUUUUGCUGUGGUCAGAAUGGCAGAUUUGAUUGCUGCUGGUGUCCAAUUUGGGUGGAAUGACUUUACAUAGGCAGCUACCCCAGCAACAUGGGGACAGGCCAUUGAAGUCCCAGACAUAAGUAUGAAUUUUGAAUACUGAGUGUCUCCUUUUCGCCCUGUGAGUGAUCUCAGAGGAGUGUAAGAUGCCAAAAUGUCAAUGCCUGGUGCUGCAACGUCAGGCUUGAGGAGAUGCUCUGAUAGCGGAUUUGGUCCCCGAGAUGAAAACGAAGCAAUAAACGGUGCGGGGACUUUUACUUCGUGGGAUCUGUAUAUCACUGCUGAUGCUGAUCUAGUGGAAUGUAUAUAAUUAUUGAUGGUAUUACCAACAGUGACAUUGACCACUGUCCCUGGUGUCAUGAAAAUUUGGGCAGCGUCAAGAUAUUGCUCACUUUCAACAAUAGCUCCUAACCCACCAAGUCCUUUAACCACAGAAUCAGAACCCCACGCUUGUAGCUCGCAAUAAAUAAGCUUUCCCUUCACCUUUUUAGGGUCCAUUGAUCCAUCCAUACAAAACCUUGCGCUGUCCUUGCUCUCAGAGUUCUUAGCUACAUCAGCUCCACUAACAAUAGGGUAUGGUUUCUGCUUUGGUUCAAAUGCGUUCACCCCAAUCCCCUGUGUACUCAAGUAGACUCGGAUUAUAGAAUGGCAAAUUUUUUUUAACUUCAGAACAAGGCUUUUUAAGGUUUUUUGUCAUGUUAAUUAUUUCGAAUUAUUUAUCUUAAAAGUGAUAAUGUAGGACUUACCGAGAAAUUCUUCCCAUUACCCAACUCAACUUUGCUCCUAAACUGCCUAUCAAUGCCGCUAGCAGCCACGGUUAAGACCCAGGGUGCAUGGUUCGCCACAGUACCUGAAGUUGGUCCAUCAUUCCCAGCAGAGGCCACUGUAAUAACACCCUUCCUCAUGGCAUGAAAUGCACCUAUUGCCAAUGUAUCCGAUACAUAAUCCUUAGUCAUUCCACCAAUUGAUAUUGAGAUAACAUCAACACCAUCAGUUAUGGCAGCUUCAAAUGCUGCAAGUAUGUCCAUAUCCGAGCAACCUGAGCUGGCCCAACAUACUUUGUACAUGGCCACUCUGGCAGCUGGCACUGCACCACGAGCAUCACCUCUUGCUAGACCAAAAAGGCUUGCACCAGGAACUUGGUUGCCUGCUACGGUUGAUGAUGUGUGAGUCCCAUGGCCAUCCACGUCGAUGGGUGACAAGAUAUCGUUGGGGUCUGGAUUGCGAUCGAGCUUGAAGUGCCGAGCUCCUAUAAUUUUCUUGUUGCAUCCUGAGAAAUUAGCGAAAUGCCCACAAGUGCCUUUCCAUUUCUUGGGUAGAGGACCAAAGCCAUCGUCCUUGAAGCUCUCGGAUUCCGGGUUGAUCCCUGUAUCCAGUAGACCCACAACUAUGUUUCCCUCCGUUUGCAACUUUCUUUGUGCUGUGUUGGGAAGUCCAAUAAAAUCCCAUGAUUUGGUAGUGUGGAGUUUGUGAUACUGAUUUGGGAACACAGAAAGAACUUGGUCGUGUCGUGAUAACUUGUUGGCUUCAGCUUUAGAUAGCUUGGCUGCAAAUGCAUUAAAGCUCUUUGUAUAGCUGUACACGACAGACUCCUUGGCAUCACGAUCGCUUCUCUUCACGGAUAAGAGGAUAUCCAUAUGUGUUUGGACUGCGGAGACAUGGUUCAGUGGAUCAUCUCCAAGAUAGACAAUGUAGAAUUCCUUUCCUUCUCCAGUUGCAGCAACAAGCCCUGUCAAGGUCAAGAUCAAGAUGAGAGGGAAAGAAUGGAUAAAUUUUUCUCUCGACAUGAUAGCAGGAUCAAUGGUUUGGUGCCAAACUAUAUCCAGAGCUAUAUUUAUAUAUGUCUGUGUAAGCUUCUUGUGUAUCAAUAGCAACAAUUCAAGAAAAGUUUCAAAAGGGAUAAGAACACAGAAA